Molecule: small nuclear RNA, 60 nt
Organism: Cercocebus atys (sooty mangabey)
Lineage: Eukaryota; Metazoa; Chordata; Mammalia; Primates; Cercopithecidae
Source: Ensembl
ACACUGAAGCAGCACAUAUACUAAAAUUGGAAUGAUACAGAGAGGAUUAGCAUGGCCCCU